RNAcentral lists this ribosomal RNA (253 nucleotides) under uncultured bacterium. RNAcentral describes it as "partial 16S ribosomal RNA". It matches the Rfam family "Bacterial small subunit ribosomal RNA", at positions 524 to 776 of the family's 1533-position model. The record is from RNAcentral.
UACAGAGGGGGCAAGCGUUAUUCGGAAUUAUUGGGCGUAAAGGGCGCGUAGGCGGCUUGGCAAGUGGACGGUGAAAUCCCUCGGCUUAACCGAGGAACUGCCGUCCAAACUGCUUUGCUUGAGGCCGGGAGAGGCGAGUGGAAUUCCCAGUGUAGCGGUGAAAUGCGUAGAUAUUGGGAGGAACACCAGUGGCGAAGGCGGCUCGCUGGACCGGUUCUGACGCUGAUGCGCGAAAGCGUGGGGAGCAAACGGG